This 498-nucleotide ribosomal RNA is filed under the name uncultured bacterium. Its description in RNAcentral is "partial 16S ribosomal RNA". It matches the Rfam family "Bacterial small subunit ribosomal RNA", at positions 28 to 523 of the family's 1533-position model. The record is from RNAcentral.
GAUGAACGCUAGCGGCAGGCUUAAUACAUGCAAGUCGAACGGGAUUGAGAAGCUUGCUUUUCAUGAGAGUGGCGCACGGGUGCGUAACGCGUAUGCAACCUACCUUGUCCAGGGGGAUAGCCCGCUGAAAGACGGAUUAAGACCGCAUAACAUUGAGCUGUGGCAUCACAAAUCAAUCAAAUAUUUAUAGGGACAAGAUGGGCAUGCGCCUGAUUAGGUAGUUGGCGGGGUAAUGGCCCACCAAGCCGACGAUCAGUAGGGGAUCUGAGAGGAUGACCCCCCACACUGGUACUGAGACACGGACCAGACUCCUACGGGAGGCAGCAGUAAGGAAUAUUGGUCAAUGGGCGAAAGCCUGAACCAGCCAUGCCGCGUGCAGGAAGACGGCCCUACGGGUUGUAAACUGCUUUUAUACGGGAAUAACCCCGGUUUCGUGAAACCGGCUGAAUGUACCGUAAGAAUAAGGAUCGGCUAACUCCGUGCCAGCCGCCGCCGUAA